This is a non-coding RNA of Cinara cedri, 355 nucleotides long. The record is from the annotation of a GenBank genome assembly. NCBI's taxonomy places the organism in Eukaryota, Metazoa, Arthropoda, Insecta, Hemiptera, Aphididae.
UAACUGUAUAAUUAUUUAUUAUUUAUAUCAUUACAAAAAUGUAUCUAAAAGAUUCUAAUAUGGCAGAGUACUUUCACAAAAGGUAAAUAAUUUAAUAAAUCUAACAGAUCGUUCGCUAUGCGAGAGGGAUUCAAGCUUAUCUACAAGUAAAAUAAUUUAAAUGUGUCAAUUAUAACAGUUCUGCAUGCCAACUGUUGCGGUUUUUCGAGGACACUGCCGCCUCAGUCAUACUAUUGUAUAUUGUCUUCUUUUCACAAUUCGAGUAUUUAUCAUUUUAUAUCGUCAUUGACACGAUUGCCGUCUGUUCCAUCUUUUUAAGCAUACAAAUUCCAGUGGUUUUCUAUCAUUCGAGAAA